CUGUGCCAGCAGCAGCGGUAAUACAGAGACUUCGAGCGUUAUCCGGAUUUAUUGGGCGUAAAGCGUUCCGAUCGGUGGUCGUAUAUGUCUUGUGUGAAAGACCGAAGCUUAACUUCGUGUUUGCACCAGAAACUGUACGACUUGAAGAAUAAAGGGGUGGCUAGAACUCUACAAGUACCGGUGAAAUGGGUUGAUAUGUAGGGGAAUACCUAAAGCGAAAGCAGGCCACUGGGUAUUACUUGACACUGCUAGGACGAAAGCGUGGGGAGAGAAUGGGAUUAGAUACCCCAGUAUUCCACGCCCUAAACGAUGAGUGUUUACUUUUAGAGUCUGUCAAAUGACUUUGGAGGUAAAAGCUAACGCUAUAAACACUCCGCCUGUAGAGUACGGCCGCAAGGCUAAAACAUAAAGGAAUUGACGGGAACCCGCACAAGUAGUGGAUCAUGCGGCUUAAUUCGUAAGUAAGCGUGGAACCUCACCUAGGUUUGACAUGCUCUUGCAAGACUUUGGAAACUUAGUCCCUCUCUUCGGAGACUUUUGCACAGAUGAUGCACGGUCGUCGUCAGCUCGUGUCGUGAGAUGUUCGGUUAAGUCCGGUAACGAGCGCAACCCCAGUCCUUAGUUAUUUAAUGUCUAAGGAGACCGCCGAAGUUUAAUUCGGAGGAAGGAUGGGAUGACGUCAGAUCUGCGUGUCUCUUACGUCCUGGGCUACACACGUACUACAAUGCUACGGACAAAGGGCAGCAAGCGCGCGAGUGCAAGCAAAUCCCAUAAACCGUAGCACAGUUCAGAUCGCAGGCUGCAACUCGCCUGCGUGAAGGCGGAAUCGCUAGUAAUCGCAGGUCAGCAUACUGCGGUGAAUACGUUCCCGGGCCUUGUACACACCGCCCGUCACACCAUGGGAGUUGGCCACGCCCGAAGU
This 922-nucleotide ribosomal RNA is filed under the name uncultured bacterium. Its description in RNAcentral is "bacterial SSU rRNA". It matches the Rfam family "Bacterial small subunit ribosomal RNA", at positions 503 to 1427 of the family's 1533-position model. The record is from RNAcentral.